This 301-nucleotide ribosomal RNA is filed under the name uncultured bacterium. RNAcentral describes it as "partial 16S ribosomal RNA". It matches the Rfam family "Bacterial small subunit ribosomal RNA", at positions 509 to 807 of the family's 1533-position model. The record is from RNAcentral.
CAGCAGCCGCGGGAAUACGAAGGGGGCUAGCGUUGUUCGGAAUUACUGGGCGUAAAGCGCACGUAGGCGGACAUUUAAGUCAGGGGUGAAAUCCCGGGGCUCAACCCCGGAACUGCCUUUGAUACUGGGUGUCUAGAGUAUGGAAGAGGUGAGUGGAAUUCCGAGUGUAGAGGUGAAAUUCGUAGAUAUUCGGAGGAACACCAGUGGCGAAGGCGGCUCACUGGUCCAUUACUGACGCUGAGGUGCGAAAGCGUGGGGAGCAAACAGGAUUAGAUACCCCGGUAGUCCCUGUCUCUUAUAC